UGGGGAAUAUUGCACAAUGGGGGAAACCCUGAUGCAGCGACGCCGCGUGAACGAAGAAGGUAUUCGUAUCGUAAAGUUCUGUCCUAUGGGAAGAUAAUGACAGUACCAUAGAAGAAAGCUCCGGCUAAAUACGUGCCAGCAGCCGCGGUAAUACGUAUGGAGCGAGCGUUGUCCGGAAUUAUUGGGCGUAAAGGGUACGCAGGCGGUUUAAUAAGUCGAAUGUUAAAGAUCGGGGCUCAACCCCGUAAAGCAUUGGAAACUGAUAAACUUGAGUAGUGGGGAGGAAAGUGGAAUUCCUAGUGUAGUGGUGAAAUACGUAGAUAUUAGGAGGAAUACCAGUAGCGAAGACGACUUUCUGGGCACAAACUGACGCUGAGGUACGAAAGCGUGGGGAGCAAACAGG
This 403-nucleotide ribosomal RNA is filed under the name bacterium. Its description in RNAcentral is "partial 16S ribosomal RNA". It matches the Rfam family "Bacterial small subunit ribosomal RNA", at positions 355 to 776 of the family's 1533-position model. The record is from RNAcentral.